UACGUAGGAGGCAAGCGUUAUCCGGAUUUAUUGGGCGUAAAGGGAACGCAGGCGGUCUUUUAAGUCUGAUGUGAAAGCCUUCGGCUUAACUGGAGUAGUGCAUUGGAAACUGGGAGACUUGAGUGCAGAAGAGGAGAGUGGAACUCCAUGUGUAGCGGUGAAGUGCGUAGAUAUAUGGAAGAACACCAGUGGCGAAAGCGGCUCUCUGGUCUGUAACUGACGCUGAGGUUCGAAAGCGUGGGUAGCAAACAGG
RNAcentral lists this ribosomal RNA (253 nucleotides) under uncultured bacterium. RNAcentral describes it as "partial 16S ribosomal RNA". It matches the Rfam family "Bacterial small subunit ribosomal RNA", at positions 524 to 776 of the family's 1533-position model. The record is from RNAcentral.